CCCUCAAUGGCUUAGUGGUAGAGCGUCUGAUAGGUAUUGCUUCCCUUGAGUAUUGCCCAAGUUGACAGAAGGCUAGGGUUCGAAUCCCUAUUGAGGCA
RNAcentral lists this transfer RNA (98 nucleotides) under Lentinula edodes (shiitake mushroom). It matches the Rfam family "tRNA". From Rfam's summary of the family: Transfer RNA (tRNA) molecules are approximately 80 nucleotides in length. Their secondary structure includes four short double-helical elements and three loops (D, anti-codon, and T loops). Lineage: Eukaryota; Fungi; Basidiomycota; Agaricomycetes; Agaricales; Omphalotaceae. The record is from Rfam by way of RNAcentral.